AACAGGAUUAGAUACCCUGGUAGUCCACGCUGUAAACGAUGUCGACUUGGAGGUUGUGCCCUUGAGGCGUGGCUUCCGGAGCUAACGCGUUAAGUCGACCGCCUGGGGAGUACGGCCGCAAGGUUAAAACUCAAAUGAAUUGACGGGGGCCCGCACAAGCGGUGGAGCAUGUGGUUUAAUUCGAUGCAACGCGAAGAACCUUACCUACUCUUGACAUCCAGAGAAUUUGCUAGAGAUAGCUUAGUGCCUUCGGGAACUCUGAGACAGGUGCUGCAUGGCUGUCGUCAGCUCGUGUUGUGAAAUGUUGGGUUAAGUCCCGCAACGAGCGCAACCCUUAUCCUUUGUUGCCAGCGAGUAAUGUCGGGAACUCAAAGGAGACUGCCGGUGAUAAACCGGAGGAAGGUGGGGAUGACGUCAAGUCAUCAUGGCCCUUACGAGUAGGGCUACACACGUGCUACAAUGGCAUAUACAAAGAGAAGCGAACUCGCGAGAGCAAGCGGACCUCAUAAAGUAUGUCGUAGUCCGGAUUGGAGUCUGCAACUCGACUCCAUGAAGUCGGAAUCGCUAGUAAUCGUAGAUCAGAAUGCUACGGUGAAUACGUUCCCGGGCCUUGUACACACCGCCCGUCACACCAUGGGAGUGGGUUGCAGAAGAAGUAGGUAGCUUAACCUUCGGGAGGGCGCUUACCACUUUGUGAUUCAUGACUGGGGUGAAGUCGUAACAAGGUAACC
This 731-nucleotide ribosomal RNA is filed under the name uncultured bacterium. RNAcentral's name for it is "bacterial SSU rRNA". It matches the Rfam family "Bacterial small subunit ribosomal RNA", at positions 771 to 1501 of the family's 1533-position model. The record is from RNAcentral.